RNAcentral lists this ribosomal RNA (468 nucleotides) under uncultured bacterium. Its description in RNAcentral is "partial 16S ribosomal RNA". It matches the Rfam family "Bacterial small subunit ribosomal RNA", at positions 28 to 507 of the family's 1533-position model. The record is from RNAcentral.
GACGAACGCUGGCGGCGUGCUUAACACAUGCAAGUCGAACGGAAAGGCCCUGCUUUUGUGGGGUGCUCGAGUGGCGAACGGGUGAGUAACACGUGAGUAACCUGCCCUUGACUUUGGGAUAACUUCAGGAAACUGGGGCUAAUACCGGAUAGGAGCUCCUGCUUCAUGGUGGGGGUUGGAAAGUUUCGGCGGUUGGGGAUGGACUCGCGGCUUAUCAGCUUGUUGGUGGGGUAGUGGCUUACCAAGGCUUUGACGGGUAGCCGGCCUGAGAGGGUGACCGGACACAUUGGGACUGAGAUACGGCCCAGACUCCUACGGGAGGCAGCAGUGGGGAAUAUUGCACAAUGGGCGGAAGCCUGAUGCAGCAACGCCGCGUGCGGGAUGACGGCCUUCGGGUUGUAAACCGCUUUCGCCUGUGACGAAGCGUGAGUGACGGUAAUGGGUAAAGAAGCACCGGCUAACUACGUG